This is a non-coding RNA of Nothobranchius furzeri (turquoise killifish), 582 nucleotides long. Lineage: Eukaryota; Metazoa; Chordata; Actinopteri; Cyprinodontiformes; Nothobranchiidae. The record is from RefSeq and is a predicted model, not a curated record.
GAUGUAUUCACACAUCUAAACUUUACAAUCCCCAGAUUUCAAAAUGUCUUGUUGGGUUUUAAAGCUGCAAUAGUAAAUUUAGAAAAUAAAUGGCUUAAAAUAUUUAUUGUUCAUGCCUCUUAAUGUUCUAACAUACACUGCCUGGCCAAAACCAAAAGUCGCUACCAAAUUUGAUUAAAGCUCACAUUUGCUGUGGCAUUGUUUUGAUAAGCUUCUGCAAUGUCACAAGAUUUAUUUUCAUCCAGUCUUGCAUUGUUUCUCCAAGAUCUUGCAUUGAUGAUGGUAGUCUGACUGCUGCGCAGUCUUCUCCAGCACAUCCAAUAGUUUCCCAGUGGGGUUAAGUCCUAGUCUCUGUGAUGGCUGAUCCAUGUGUGAAUGGAUUUUAAUGUUCUCUUUGUUUCAUGUCCUCAAGGUUACAAGUCUCACCGAUGCCGCGAAAGCCGAUGAACCACUGGCGUCAAAACAAGACAUCCAGGUUUUAAGUCACACCGACGUAGCCGAAGCUGUGACAGUAGCAUCUCCCUUGUCAACACAAGACAUCCAGAGCUGCAAACAUGUUCUGUGCCCAUCCUCAUUGACCAG